RNAcentral lists this transfer RNA (72 nucleotides) under Puccinia sorghi. RNAcentral describes it as "tRNA-Ser". It matches the Rfam family "tRNA". From Rfam's summary of the family: Transfer RNA (tRNA) molecules are approximately 80 nucleotides in length. The record is from RNAcentral. Lineage: Eukaryota; Fungi; Basidiomycota; Pucciniomycetes; Pucciniales; Pucciniaceae.
AUAUACUUAGCUCAAUGGUUGGAGCAUCACUCAUGAAUGCUGAGGUUGUGGUUUCAAAUGCCACAGUACACA